Molecule: unclassified non-coding RNA, 378 nt
Filed under: uncultured Prochlorococcus sp.
Lineage: Bacteria; Bacillati; Cyanobacteriota; Cyanophyceae; Synechococcales; Prochlorococcaceae
Description: partial 16S-23S ribosomal RNA intergenic spacer
Source: RNAcentral
UCGUUGUGUGAUGUGAUUUAGAAUUUAAGUUUGCUGGCAGACCCUAGCUUCUUAUCAUUCCAGGACUCAAUCAAUUGAGAUGAGGUUGAUAGGACGCUGGGCUCACUGUAAUUCGCAAGAAUUGCAGAGAUGUUCAGCAGAACCUUGACAACUGCAUAGGUAAGUCUGGAAAGAAUAAAGCAUCUCAUGGAUGCAUGAUUCUUGGGAAUCAGCUGAUGCAAUCUGCGCGAGCAGAGAGCUGAGGUUGAUGAACGAGAAUGAUGUUUGAUUCUUGAGUCAAGAGCCGAGACUCUAUAGCGUUCUUUCGAUGUCAUCGAGGCAUCGAGAGUUUGAUUAGUGAUUCAAACCAUUUUCAAUGACAAGCAAUUCAGUUUAACU